This 504-nucleotide ribosomal RNA is filed under the name uncultured bacterium. Its description in RNAcentral is "partial 16S ribosomal RNA". It matches the Rfam family "Bacterial small subunit ribosomal RNA", at positions 30 to 523 of the family's 1533-position model. The record is from RNAcentral.
AUUGAACGCUGGCGGCAUGCUUUACACAUGCAAGUCGAACGGCAGCAUGGGUGCUUGCACCUGAUGGCGAGUGGCGAACGGGUGAGUAAUGUAUCGGAACAUAUCCGCAAGUGGGGGAUAACGUAGCGAAAGUUACGCUAAUACCGCAUAUUCCCUGAGGGGGAAAGGAGGGGAUCCGCAAGGACCUUUCGCUUACGGAGUGGCCGAUAUCAGAUUAGCUAGUUGGUGAGGUAAAGGCUCACCAAGGCGACGAUCUGUAGCGGGUCUGAGAGGAUGAUCCGCCACACUGGGACUGAGACACGGCCCAGACUCCUACGGGAGGCAGCAGUGGGGAAUUUUGGACAAUGGGGGCAACCCUGAUCCAGCCAUGCCGCGUGAGUGAAGAAGGCCUUCGGGUUGUAAAGCUCUUUCAGCCGGAAAAAAAUCGCAUCACCUAAUACGUGGUGUGGAUGAUGGUACCGGAAGAAGAAGCACCGGCUAACUACGUGCCAGCCGCCGCGGUAA